This 532-nucleotide ribosomal RNA is filed under the name Fusarium sp. Zi104. RNAcentral's name for it is "eukaryotic LSU rRNA". The stretch from base 150 to 303 matches the Rfam family "5.8S ribosomal RNA". Lineage: Eukaryota; Fungi; Ascomycota; Sordariomycetes; Hypocreales; Nectriaceae. The record is from RNAcentral.
GGGUAACGAGUUCACUCCCAACCCCUGUGACAUACCUUACUGUUGCCUCGGCGGAUCAGCCCGCUCCCGGUAAAACGGGACGGCCCGCCAGAGGACCCCUAAACUCUGUUUCUAUAUGUAACUUCUGAGUAAAACCAUAAAUAAAUCAAAACUUUCAACAACGGAUCUCUUGGUUCUGGCAUCGAUGAAGAACGCAGCAAAAUGCGAUAAGUAAUGUGAAUUGCAGAAUUCAGUGAAUCAUCGAAUCUUUGAACGCACAUUGCGCCCGCCAGUAUUCUGGCGGGCAUGCCUGUUCGAGCGUCAUUUCAACCCUCAAGCCCUCGGGUUUGGUGUUGGGGAUCGGCGAGCCUUUCUGGCAAGCCGGCCCCGAAAUCUAGUGGCGGUCUCGCUGCAGCCUCCAUUGCGUAGUAGUAAAACCCUCGCAACUGGAACGCGGCGCGGCCAAGCCGUUAAACCCCCAACUUCUGAAUGUUGACCUCGGAUCAGGUAGGAAUACCCGCUGAACUUAAGCAUAUCAUAAGUCGGAGGAAUU